GAGCAUGUGGAUUAAUUCGAUAAUAACCGAAGAACCUUACCCAGGUUUGACAUCGAUCGUAAGCCUAAGAGAUUAGGCCCUCCCCCACAAGGGGACGUGAAGACACUUGUUGCAUGGCUGUCGUCAGCUCGUGCCGUGAGGUGUACGGUUAAGUCCGCCAACGAGCGCAACCCUCGUCCUGUGUUACCAGCAUUAACGGUGGGGACUCACAGGAGACCGCCGGUGUAAGCCGGAGGAAGGUGAGGAUGACGUCAAGUCAGCAUGGCAGUUACGCCUGGGGCUUCACACAUGCUACAAUGGGCGCAACAAUGGGCAGCAAUACCGUGAGGUGGAGCAAAUCCCAAAAAUACGCCCCCAGUUCAGAUUGCAGUCUGCAACUCGACUGCAUGAAGGUGGAAUCGCUAGUAAACGCAGGUCAGCUAUACUGCGUUGAAUACGUUCCCGGGUCUUGUACACACCGCCCGUCAAGUCACCUGAAUUGUCUUCACCCGAAGUCCGUGGCCUAACCGCAAGGAAGGAGCGGCCGAAGGUGGGGGGGGUAAGGGGGACU
RNAcentral lists this ribosomal RNA (550 nucleotides) under uncultured bacterium. RNAcentral's name for it is "bacterial SSU rRNA". It matches the Rfam family "Bacterial small subunit ribosomal RNA", at positions 935 to 1482 of the family's 1533-position model. The record is from RNAcentral.